UCAAGUUAGAGCUUGAUAUAAGCGUUUUAUUUACACUAAAAAGUUAAUUGUGUAAUUCAAUUUUUCUUGAA
This 71-nucleotide transfer RNA is filed under the name Oberea diversipes. Its description in RNAcentral is "tRNA-Val". The record is from RNAcentral. Lineage: Eukaryota; Metazoa; Arthropoda; Insecta; Coleoptera; Cerambycidae.